This 1379-nucleotide ribosomal RNA is filed under the name Escherichia coli. RNAcentral describes it as "partial 23S ribosomal RNA". It matches the Rfam family "Bacterial large subunit ribosomal RNA", at positions 875 to 2236 of the family's 2925-position model. Lineage: Bacteria; Pseudomonadati; Pseudomonadota; Gammaproteobacteria; Enterobacterales; Enterobacteriaceae. The record is from RNAcentral.
UAGCGCCUCGUGAAUUCAUCUCCGGGGGUAGAGCACUGUUUCGGCAAGGGGGUCAUCCCGACUUACCAACCCGAUGCAAACUGCGAAUACCGGAGAAUGUUAUCACGGGAGACACACGGCGGGUGCUAACGUCCGUCGUGAAGAGGGAAACAACCCAGACCGCCAGCUAAGGUCCCAAAGUCAUGGUUAAGUGGGAAACGAUGUGGGAAGGCCCAGACAGCCAGGAUGUUGGCUUAGAAGCAGCCAUCAUUUAAAGAAAGCGUAAUAGCUCACUGGUCGAGUCGGCCUGCGCGGAAGAUGUAACGGGGCUAAACCAUGCACCGAAGCUGCGGCAGCGACGCUGAUGCGUUGUUGGGUAGGGGAGCGUUCUGUAAGCCUGCGAAGGUGUGCUGUGAGGCAUGCUGGAGGUAUCAGAAGUGCGAAUGCUGACAUAAGUAACGAUAAAGCGGGUGAAAAGCCCGCUCGCCGGAAGACCAAGGGUUCCUGUCCAACGUUAAUCGGGGCAGGGUGAGUCGACCCCUAAGGCGAGGCCGAAAGGCGUAGUCGAUGGGAAACAGGUUAAUAUUCCUGUACUUGGUGUUACUGCGAAGGGGGGACGGAGAAGGCUAUGUUGGCCGGGCGACGGUUGUCCCGGUUUAAGCGUGUAGGCUGGUUUUCCAGGCAAAUCCGGAAAAUCAAGGCUGAGGCGUGAUGACGAGGCACUACGGUGCUGAAGCAACAAAUGCCCUGCUUCCAGGAAAAGCCUCUAAGCAUCAGGUAACAUCAAAUCGUACCCCAAACCGACACAGGUGGUCAGGUAGAGAAUACCAAGGCGCUUGAGAGAACUCGGGUGAAGGAACUAGGCAAAAUGGUGCCGUAACUUCGGGAGAAGGCACGCUGAUAUGUAGGUGAAGUCCCUCGCGGAUGGAGCUGAAAUCAGUCGAAGAUACCAGCUGGCUGCAACUGUUUAUUAAAAACACAGCACUGUGCAAACACGAAAGUGGACGUAUACGGUGUGACGCCUGCCCGGUGCCGGAAGGUUAAUUGAUGGGGUUAGCGCAAGCGAAGCUCUUGAUCGAAGCCCCGGUAAACGGCGGCCGUAACUAUAACGGUCCUAAGGUAGCGAAAUUCCUUGUCGGGUAAGUUCCGACCUGCACGAAUGGCGUAAUGAUGGCCAGGCUGUCUCCACCCGAGACUCAGUGAAAUUGAACUCGCUGUGAAGAUGCAGUGUACCCGCGGCAAGACGGAAAGACCCCGUGAACCUUUACUAUAGCUUGACACUGAACAUUGAGCCUUGAUGUGUAGGAUAGGUGGGAGGCUUAGAAGUGUGGACGCCAGUCUGCAUGGAGCCGACCUUGAAAUACCACCCUUUAAUGUUUGAUGUUCUAACGUUGACCCGU